Molecule: long non-coding RNA, 397 nt
Filed under: Nicotiana benthamiana
Lineage: Eukaryota; Viridiplantae; Streptophyta; Magnoliopsida; Solanales; Solanaceae
Description: long non-coding RNA (NBEN_LNC008167)
Source: RNAcentral
UCUCCUUGAGUUUCAUGAGUUUUGGCAUUUUCAGAAGACCCAAGUUCAUCUCCUUCACUGGCAGAGAUAUAGUCAUCAGAUUCAGAGCUAAAGUUGGUCUCCUUUGCUGAGAUUUACUGCAACUUCUCAUUCAAAGCUUUCCUCAGGAACCAGUAGCAACAGUUUUUUUUUGCUAGCAUUUUCUGGCGACGAAAUCUUGGUUUUAGGGUUUCAAUAUGUGGUGUGAAGAUGAGGUAGUGUUGGGUGAAACGGGUGGAGGUGUUCCAAGAUUGUCUUGGGGAUUUGUCAUGGUGAAGAAUUUUUUGAAACCUUAAGAGAAUUUUGGAGAAUUGUUUGGAGACGAGAGUGGAUGAUCAGGGGUUUUUGUGAAGAAUUGAUGGCUAUGAGUGACUUGUGG